GGGUUGUGAGGUUAAGCGACUAAGCGUACACGGUGGAUGCCCUGGCAGUCAGAGGCGAUGAAGGACGUGCUAAUCUGCGAUAAGCGUCGGUAAGGUGAUAUGAACCGUUAUAACCGGCGAUUUCCGAAUGGGGAAACCCAGUGUGUUUCGACACACUAUCAUUAACUGAAUCCAUAGGUUAAUGAGGCGAACCGGGGGAACUGAAACAUCUAAGUACCCCGAGGAAAAGAAAUCAACCGAGAUUCCCCCAGUAGCGGCGAGCGAACGGGGAGGAGCCCAGAGCCUGAAUCAGUGUGUGUGUUAGUGGAAGCGUCUGGAAAGGCGCGCGAUACAGGGUGACAGCCCCGUACACAAAAAUGCACAUGCUGUGAGCUCGAUGAGUAGGGCGGGACACGUGGUAUCCUGUCUGAAUAUGGGGGGACCAUCCUCCAAGGCUAAAUACUCCUGACUGACCGAUAGUGAACCAGUACCGUGAGGGAAAGGCGAAAAGAACCCCGGCGAGGGGAGUGAAAAAGAACCUGAAACCGUGUACGUACAAGCAGUGGGAGC
RNAcentral lists this ribosomal RNA (549 nucleotides) under Escherichia coli. RNAcentral's name for it is "bacterial LSU rRNA". It matches the Rfam family "Bacterial large subunit ribosomal RNA", at positions 1 to 580 of the family's 2925-position model. Lineage: Bacteria; Pseudomonadati; Pseudomonadota; Gammaproteobacteria; Enterobacterales; Enterobacteriaceae. The record is from RNAcentral.